AAUCUAUUUUCACGAUGUUGUGUGUGUUCUUCGUUCUUCAUUGUUCGACGGCGACGGUGAUUCUUGCCCUUCCUCACGAAUCUGAAAUUGAGAGCGUUAUUGUUUUUACGUGUUUAUCCCCAUUAAUUCAGAUGCCCACUACGAGUUAUUCAAUGAGUCUUUUAGAUCUGAAAGGCGGUGUGAUUUCGGUAUAAAUAGAUGUGAGUAUACUCCCCGAUGGAUUUGACAUAGCUCAAUGUGCUCAGAACUUCAAGCUUUCUGACUCCUCUUUACCGAUUCGGUUCAAUGAUUCAACCAAUUUUGACGAGUUAACCGAACCGGUCUCUCCGUUACCUGAAGAAAGAUUCCGGAUCCGUAACCAAACCGAUCUGGUUGGAUUAUCUAACACGUCACAAAGCUUCCAAGAAUGUGCUCAGAAAUUUUAGGAAAGAUGAGCACAAAGAAAGAUGGUAAAACGGUAAAAGAGGCUCACGAAAAGCUCAAGGGAACUGAUGCAUAUUGUUUUUGUUCAAUAUUUGGAGGUUAAGGGUAAUAGGAUAAGCUCCAAUGGAAUAAAAGAAAACAAUUCAAAUUCUCUGAGUGGCUCCACUUCUGUGAAUGUUGAUUCAACAGCAAAUACAUCCAGCACAUUGUCACCACUUUGUGAAGAUGCUGAUUCUGGAAACCAAGAUGGUUGGAUUCAUAGGAAUAGAGUAAAAGAAAUCGACUCCAAAGAUUAGUGGGUGUCCCAGCAUUAGAUGCUUCCUUUGAGAAUCAAUUGGCAAGAUACCAGAACCUACCUUAUAAUCCUCUGUUGACUCAGACAAAUCCUUCUAAUGCUGGAUUAAUGUCCGUGGAAGGGCAUCUCAGAAGCCCUCUUCAAAACCAAGUAAAUUGGCAGAUUCCAGUUCAGGACAGCUUGCCACUGCAAAAAUGGCCCAUGAACUACCAUGGUACUGACAUGGCCUUACAUGAGAAUUUCCGGACGUUUUCGAGUCUUGUCGGCAGUCAAAACCAGCAGCAGCCUAUUGGGAGUAGUUUUCAAGCUCUGUUUUCAAGGACCUGGACCUCCAGACUCAUACAGUUUUCCCAUUGCUCUCUAUCAACCGCUUCCAUAAUCUUAUGGAUCGAUUUGUCUUGCUAGCGGUAACGUCCAAGCACACUACGUGCAAGGAAUUCAUGAAUAUUUUUGAAACGAUAACGCAAUCGAUGGCAUGUACCAUUUACGAUUAUCGGCAGAUGUUUAUUAUGCAGAUGGUGUUUACUUAUACCCAUCAUCAUGUUGUGUAGAGGUGAGCAAGCUGUCGGUCGUGCCUACCUCAACAUGCCUGGCUGGAGGGAGUCUCCAACUAAAUUAGACGGAUGCGGAAGGCGAAUUAAAACUUCGCUUCAUGGUAUUGCUGUUGCGAGACUCCUGGUUUACACGACGACUUACCAAGAGACAAGAGCUGCUUAGUAAUAUUGGUCGAAGAUGGAGCUAUGCUUUUACUUUAGACAGAUGCAGAAAUUUAAUAUUUAACGUAUUUAGACAGUCCAUUGCCUAUUAGAUGGAAAUUAGAAGACUUUUUAUUCUAAGUUUCAACAACUAGAACCUUAUUUUA
Brassica oleracea var. oleracea is the source of this 1580-nucleotide long non-coding RNA. RefSeq lists it as uncharacterized. The record is from RefSeq and is a predicted model, not a curated record. The transcript is spliced from 6 exons. NCBI's taxonomy places the organism in Eukaryota, Viridiplantae, Streptophyta, Magnoliopsida, Brassicales, Brassicaceae.